CAGAGGGUAGUUUUAAUUAAGAAUGCCAGCUUUGGGAGUUGGUGGUGAUGGUUCAACUCCAUCUCCUUUGA
Molecule: transfer RNA, 71 nt
Filed under: Sillago sp. 1 SS-2021
Lineage: Eukaryota; Metazoa; Chordata; Actinopteri; Sillaginidae
Description: tRNA-Pro
Rfam family: tRNA
About the family: Transfer RNA (tRNA) molecules are approximately 80 nucleotides in length.
Source: RNAcentral